GCACGCGCACCAGCGGCCUCCGCGCAGGCUCCGUGCCCGCGCACGCGCCCUCGCGUCGCGCUCCUGGCGGAGACACCUGCGCUCGGGCCCGGCUCCGGGCGGUUCUCCCGGUGCCGUUCCACCGGGACUUCCGCGCUUCGGCGGCCUUUCUGACGAGCCGCGGCGCCCGGAGAUGUUCAGGUUGGAGCGACACUUCCCAGAGGGCAGCGGUCACGCCAGAUCUUCGGCUUCCAUUCCGUUUUCGCGCGGUUCUCCCUCUUCGCAAGGUCUUCCAGGUAUAGAGAAGCUGGUUUAUCUGAGACCCCACUGGCUUUCUGUUGGCUCCCAUAGGCUUGGAUGCUGCUGCCCCAUGCAUGACCGGUGAUGCUUGUCCUGGGUUGUCUGAAGGACGAUUGGCCCUGAGCUAACAUCUGUUGCCAAUCUUCCUCUUUUUGCUUGAAGAAGAUUGUUGCUGAGCUAACAUCUGUGCCAAUCUUGCUCUGCUUUAGUGGGAUGCCGCUGCAGUGUGGCCUGAUGAGAGCUGAUAGAUCCCACCUGAGAUCAGAACCUGCAAACCUUGGGUGACCGAAGCAGAGCACAUGAACUUAACCACUGUGCCACAGAGUUGGCCCCAACCAUCUCAGCUUUCAAUUGGAGUACUUCAUACAUUUCAAAUUUAAUUCAACUAUCGAUAUUGUUAACUUUUUAUCUCCCAUUCUGCUGUUUCCUAUGUCUUAUGUGCUUUUGUGCCUUUUUUACUGCUUUUUCAUAUCAAAUAUAUUUUUUUCUAGAGAAACAUUUUACUGGUUCUCUUAAUAGCCUGAAUUAUUUUCUUAGUAGUUACUCAAGGGAAGACAAUAUACAUCUUAACAUAAUACUA
Molecule: long non-coding RNA, 859 nt
Filed under: Equus asinus (donkey)
Lineage: Eukaryota; Metazoa; Chordata; Mammalia; Perissodactyla; Equidae
Description: lncRNA (ENSEASG00005032832.1)
Source: RNAcentral